RNAcentral lists this ribosomal RNA (229 nucleotides) under uncultured bacterium. Its description in RNAcentral is "partial 16S ribosomal RNA". It matches the Rfam family "Bacterial small subunit ribosomal RNA", at positions 568 to 796 of the family's 1533-position model. The record is from RNAcentral.
UGCGUAGGCGGCAUGAUAAGUCAGGGGUGAAAUCUCAUAGCUUAACUAUGAAACUGCCAUUGAUACUGCAGGUCUUGAGUAAGGUAGAAGUAGCUGGAAUAAGUAGUGUAGCGGUGAAAUGCAUAGAUAUUACUUAGAACACCAAUUGCGAAGGCAGGUUACUAUGUCUUAACUGACGCUGAUGGACGAAAGCGUGGGGAGCGAACAGGAUUAGAUACCCUGGUAGUCC